Molecule: ribosomal RNA, 253 nt
Filed under: uncultured bacterium
Lineage: Bacteria
Description: partial 16S ribosomal RNA
Rfam family: Bacterial small subunit ribosomal RNA
Source: RNAcentral
UACGUAGGGUCCGAGCGUUGUCCGGAAUUACUGGGCGUAAAGAGCUCGUAGGUGGUUUGUCGCGUUGUUCGUGAAAACUCACAGCUCAACUGUGGGCGCGCAGGCGAUACGGGCAGACUGGAGUACUGCAGGGGAGACUGGAAUUCCUGGUGUAGCGGUGGAAUGCGCAGAUAUCAGGAGGAACACCGGUGGCGAAGGCGGGUCUCUGGGCAGUAACUGACGCUGAGGAGCGAAAGCGUGGGGAGCGAACAGG